UCCGGUUUGACACCGGCAGUCUCCCUAGAGUGCCCGGCAUAACCCGCUGGUAACUAGGGACGAGGGUUGCGCUCGUUGCGGGACUUAACCCAACAUCUCACGACACGAGCUGACGACAGCCAUGCAGCACCUGUGCUGGCGCUCCGAAGAGGGGCCGGUGUUUCCACCAGCUUUCACCAGUAUGUCAAGCCCAGGUAAGGUGGGGAUGACGUCGUAUCUCACUG
RNAcentral lists this unclassified non-coding RNA (224 nucleotides) under uncultured Gemmatimonadaceae bacterium. RNAcentral's name for it is "contains 16S-23S intergenic spacer region". Lineage: Bacteria; Pseudomonadati; Gemmatimonadota; Gemmatimonadia; Gemmatimonadales; Gemmatimonadaceae. The record is from RNAcentral.